RNAcentral lists this ribosomal RNA (903 nucleotides) under uncultured bacterium. RNAcentral's name for it is "bacterial SSU rRNA". It matches the Rfam family "Bacterial small subunit ribosomal RNA", at positions 51 to 947 of the family's 1533-position model. The record is from RNAcentral.
ACACAUGCAAGUCGAACGGUAACUUUUGGUGCUUGCACCGAAAGACGAGUGGCGAACGGGUGCGUAACGCGUAUGCAAUCUGCCUUUUACUAGGGUAUAGCCCAGAGAAAUUUGGAUUAAUCCCCUAUAAUAUCAUUUAAUCGCAUGAUUUUAUGAUUAAAGCUUCGGCGGUAAAAGAUGAGCAUGCGUCCUAUUAGUUAGUAGGUGAGGUAACGGCUCACCUAGACUCCGAUAGGUAGGGGUCCUGAGAGGGAGAUCCCCCACACUGGUACUGAGACACGGACCAGACUCCUACGGGAGGCAGCAGUGAGGAAUAUUGGACAAUGGACGAAAGUCUGAUCCAGCUAUGCCGCGUGCAGGAUGACGGCCCUAUGGGUUGUAAACUGCUUUUAUACAGGAAGAAAAACUCCGACGUGUCGGAACUUGACGGUACUGUAAGAAUAAGGAUCGGCUAACUCCGUGCCAGCAGCCGCGGUAAUACGGAGGAUCCAAGCGUUAUCCGGAAUCAUUGGGUUUAAAGGGUCCGUAGGCGGUUUUUUAAGUCAGAGGUGAAAUCCUGCAGCUCAACUGUAGAAUUGCCUUUGAUACUGAAAGACUUGAGUUAUUGUGAAGUGGUUAGAAUGUGUGGUGUAGCGGUGAAAUGCAUAGAUAUCACACAGAAUACCAAUUGCGAAGGCAGAUCACUAACAAUAUACUGACGCUCAGGGACGAAAGCGUGGGUAGCGAACAGGAUUAGAUACCCUGGUAGUCCACGCCGUAAACGAUGGAUACUAGCUGUAUGUCUACUUCACGUAGAUGUGUGGCUAAGCGAAAGUGAUAAGUAUCCCACCUGGGGAGUACGAUCGCAAGAUUGAAACUCAAAGGAAUUGACGGGGCCCGCACAAGCGGUGGAGCAUGCGGUUU